This 515-nucleotide ribosomal RNA is filed under the name uncultured bacterium. RNAcentral describes it as "bacterial SSU rRNA". It matches the Rfam family "Bacterial small subunit ribosomal RNA", at positions 355 to 883 of the family's 1533-position model. The record is from RNAcentral.
UGGGGAAUCUUGGACAAUGGGGGCAACCCUGAUCCAGCCAUGCCGCGUGAGUGAUGAAGGCCUUAGGGUCGUAAAGCUCUUUCGCCUGUGAAGAUAAUGACGGUAGCAGGUAAAGAAACCCCGGCUAACUCCGUGCCAGCAGCCGCGGUAAUACGGAGGGGGUUAGCGUUGUUCGGGAAUUACUGGGCGUAAAGCGCACGUAGGCGGACCAGAAAGUUGGGGGUGAAAUCCCGGGGGCUCAACCCCGGAACUGCCUCCAAAACUAUUGGUCUAGAGUUCGAGAGAGGUGAGUGGAAUUCCAAGUGUAGAGGUGAAAUUCGUAGAUAUUUGGAGGAACACCAGUGGCGAAAGGCGGCUCACUGGCUCGAUACUGACGCUGAGGUGCGAAAGUGUGGGGAGCAAAACAGGAUUAGAUACCCUGGUAGUCCACACCGUAAAACGAUGAAUGCCAGUCGUCGGGUAGCAUGCUAUUCGGUGACACACCUAACGGAUUAAGCAUUCCGCCUGGGGAGUAC